ACUCCCUGCCGAUGUUCCUUCUGGGAAAGGUCACCCAGGCUCUGGAUGCAACCGACUAGGCAGAAACAAGCCCCGAGAAGGGGCAGGGUGUGCAGCUGCGUGGACACCCUCUGCACACUUAUUUGCUAUUAUAGCCUAUAGUCUGAAGACCUUCCUACCUGCCAUUAAACCACAGAACCUCCUCAAGAAGCUUAUCGUUCAGAGGAGCUCGGGUAAAGCCCAGGCAGUUAACAGCCCCCAUGUCAGAUGGUUCCAGAGACUCUGAUGAAAAAACCACUUACAGAGGCACCAUGCUGGGCACCAGAGAUGCAGAUAUAAAUGACAGCACUGCCCCAGGAGAGCAAAAGGUCAUCAGAAAAGAGACACGGCGAGGCAGAGUAAGUUGCGUUGGGCCUGGGUUUUGGAUUCACAGCAAAUAGGCUUGAAAACUGAGGUGACCACGAACAGCACAUGGCUCGAGCAUUGUGAACGGGCCAGCCCGACACGGAUCUCCCAGGGGCGGGCUCGCCGCGGUGGCAGGACCACUGAGCUCUGAAUGGCACUCUUCAGGGACUGCGGUCCUUUCCUACUGCUGUUGUAGCUAAUUAGCAGACACUCGUGGCUCCAACAACACAACCGUAUCGCUUUACAGUGCUGGAGGACCCUGUCUUGGCCCUGACAUUGGCGCUCCCUGGAUAACCCCGGAUACUCCUUUCUUAAGGUCGGCUGAUCAACAACCUGCUGUAAAUCCCAUCUGCCACCUUCAUCCCCUUUGCAACAUAUUCGCAGGUUCUGGGGAUCAGGCGUGGACGUCGCUGGGCCAUUAUUUUGUGUAUGGCAAGGAGCGACUCCUGGCCUGCUCUACCCACUUCACGUGUGCUCAGGGCUUGGUCUCUUGGGUGGGCUUGUUUUGUCUGUCACAUUUGAACCACUCCGACCUGGACAGUUGAAAGGCAUUAAGCACAUUCACACUGCUGUACAACCAUCACCCCAUCCAUUCUCUGGAACUUUUUUCUUCUUGCAAAACCAAACUCUGGAUCCAUUAAAUAGUAACUGCCCACCAGUCUACUCUCCAUGAAUCUGACAACUCCAGAUUUCUCACAGGAAGAGAGUUAGACCGCAUUUAUCCUCCUGCGAUGGGCUUAUUUCACUUAGCACAAUGUCCUCCCAGUUCACGUUGGCUGUCGCACGCUGGUCUCUUGAUUUUGAGACAACCUCCACCCUCCAGAUUCCGUUCAGCCACCCCAAAGUUGACCCUGCAGGAGGUCCCCACCAGCAGCAGCAUUUCAGGCUAGAAGUGUGCAAACAGGUGGCCUAGAGGUUUGAAAAAAAUGCAGUGUGGUGUGAUGUGAUGGUGGGGGGGUGGUUUAGAGGGCUGUUCUGGGGUCGCUGAGCACUGGGUUCCUGUCCCUUCUCAGCCAGUCAUACGCUGCAAUCAUCAGCCAGUACCUACGAUGUGCGGGUCUCCACGUGAAGCAUGGGGGGCACGGAAGCUGCUCCGCACAGUGCCAACCACGAAGUAAGAAUUCAGCAAAGGCGAGUUCCAAAAGGGGGUCGAGGGAGGGGCAGAGUCCAGUGGAGAACCUAGAAGGUUCCACCUGAGCUUCCCGUUAGGAGCCUCAGGGAGCUAUGGUAGGGAUCUCUGAAUCCUGGCAGAAGAACAUGCACAAAAUUAUAGCAGCAUUUCCUAAGGCAUCAGAAGAGGCUGGGGACACGCCUUUAAAGGUUGGCCAGGAAGCAGAACCAAGAGUGACAUGCAUGUGGGAAAGGAGGCUGGGAGGCCAAGGUUCACCUUUCAAGGCUGAUGGGCUUUCCCUAAUCCUGAUUUUUUUUAUCUCCUCCUCCAGGAAGCCUUCAGUGAUUAAACCUACAGAACUCUAGUGACUUCACUAGACUUUCCCUCAGUAGAGCAAGAGGCAGCUGCCUUGACCACCCCAAGGCUAAGGAGCCCCCGUCCUGAAAAACACAGUCGACAAUGACCUCAUGUCACUGGAGAGGUGUGGCUCAUCCAGCGCUCUCUCUGUUUGCCUCUGAUGUUUAUGACGCUGAUGUGAUUUUUACAGGCAGAUUUAUGCUUUUGAUAACACACUUCCGAAGGCGGCUACUAAGAUGAAGUUUUGUUCUAGACCAGGUUCCCUUGGGCCCAUGGGGACCUGGCCGAGACCAAACAGACUGCAGUGUGGAGUUGGCAACACCUGCACCCAAGGCUGAGUGAGCAGGGAGAACAGGUUCUGAGGGCAAGGCUGCCCUGGCUGGUUCUGGAAGCUGGCUGGUGUGGACUGGCCAGGCAGGCCUAGGUGGGACAAGCGUAAGCAGAGAAUUCCUCGAUCUCAGCUCACCCCCCACCCACCCACCCCUGCCCCCCAGAGAGCUGGGCAAGGC
Molecule: long non-coding RNA, 2361 nt
Filed under: Sus scrofa (pig)
Lineage: Eukaryota; Metazoa; Chordata; Mammalia; Artiodactyla; Suidae
Description: lncRNA (ENSSSCG00025024121.1, ENSSSCG00055008801.1)
Source: RNAcentral